This 317-nucleotide ribosomal RNA is filed under the name Bacillus cereus. RNAcentral describes it as "bacterial SSU rRNA". It matches the Rfam family "Bacterial small subunit ribosomal RNA", at positions 1 to 326 of the family's 1533-position model. Lineage: Bacteria; Bacillati; Bacillota; Bacilli; Caryophanales; Bacillaceae. The record is from RNAcentral.
AAGAGUUUGAUCAUGGCUCAGAUUGAACGCUGGCGGCAGGCCUAACACAUGCAAGUCGAGCGGAUGACGGGAGCUUGCUCCUUGAUUCAGCGGCGGACGGGUGAGUAAUGCCUAGGAAUCUGCCUGGUAGUGGGGGACAACGUUUCGAAAGGAACGCUAAUACCGCAUACGUCCUACGGGAGAAAGCAGGGGACCUUCGGGCCUUGCGCUAUCAGAUGAGCCUAGGUCGGAUUAGCUAGUUGGUGGGGUAAUGGCUCACCAAGGCGACGAUCCGUAACUGGUCUGAGAGGAUGAUCAGUCACACUGGAACUGAGACA